This 358-nucleotide ribosomal RNA is filed under the name uncultured Synergistaceae bacterium. Its description in RNAcentral is "bacterial SSU rRNA". It matches the Rfam family "Bacterial small subunit ribosomal RNA", at positions 1028 to 1382 of the family's 1533-position model. Lineage: Bacteria; Thermotogati; Synergistota; Synergistia; Synergistales; Synergistaceae. The record is from RNAcentral.
UCUGACACAGGUGCUGCAUGGCUGUCGUCAGCUCGUGUCGUGAGAUGUUGGGUUAAGGUCCCGUAACCGAGCGCAACCCCUGCAUUCAGUUGCCAUCGGGUGAAGCCGGGCACUCUGGAAGGACUGCCAUCGACAAGAUGGAGGAAGGUGGGGACGACGUCAAGUCAUCAUGGCCCUUAUGUCCAGGGCGACACACGUGCUACAAUGGCCGGCACAACGGGAAGCGAGUUCGCGAGGACGAGCGGAUCCCUUAAAGCCGGUCGCAGUUCGGAUUGAAGUCUGCAACUCGACUUCAUGAAGCUGGAAUCGCUAGUAAUCGCAGAUCAGCCAAGCUGCGGUGAAUACGUUCCCGGGCCUU